RNAcentral lists this ribosomal RNA (352 nucleotides) under Asteriomyzostomum jinshou. RNAcentral describes it as "partial 16S ribosomal RNA". It matches the Rfam family "Bacterial large subunit ribosomal RNA", at positions 1948 to 2554 of the family's 2925-position model. Lineage: Eukaryota; Metazoa; Annelida; Myzostomida; Asteriomyzostomidae. The record is from RNAcentral.
GUACUAAGGUAGCAUAAUAAUUUGCCUUCUAAUUAAAGGAUAGAAUGAAUGGGUUAACGCAGAAAUAACUGUCUCUACUCUACUAAUAAAACUUAAUCUAAAGGUGAAAAAGCCUUUAUAAAAUAAAAAGACAAAAAGACCCUAUCGAGCUUUUAUCUAAUGUAAUAAACAAAUAGAUUUUUGUUGGGGCAACAUGAAUUCUAUACGCCAAUUCAAACAUACACAAAUACCAUUCAAUUUCAUUGAAUUUUUUCAAGUUACCGUAGGGAUAACAGGCUUAUCUUUCUAAAGAGCCCUAAUCGAUAGAAAAGUUUGGCACCUCGAUGUUGGCUUAUAAUUUCUAAUUGGGGCA